RNAcentral lists this ribosomal RNA (201 nucleotides) under uncultured Litoreibacter sp. Its description in RNAcentral is "partial 16S ribosomal RNA". It matches the Rfam family "Bacterial small subunit ribosomal RNA", at positions 8 to 235 of the family's 1533-position model. The record is from RNAcentral. Lineage: Bacteria; Pseudomonadati; Pseudomonadota; Alphaproteobacteria; Rhodobacterales; Roseobacteraceae.
AGAGUUUGAUCCUGGCUCAGAACGAACGCUGGCGGCAGGCCUAACACAUGCAAGUCGAGCGCAGUCCUUCGGGACCGAGCGGCGGACGGGUUAGUAACGCGUGGGAACAUACCCUUUGGUACGGAAUAGCCUCGGGAAACUGAGAGUAAUACCGUAUAAGCCCUUCGGGGGAAAGAUUUAUCGCCAAAGGAUUGGCCCGCG